CAGACCAAUGUCACAGAGGAGAAGAUCUGGACAGGACUCUUGUGCAUCUUCUUUGGCUUAGCUGUGGGGACACUCAUCUGCACACCCAUCCUUGGCUUGCUGCUGUGGCAGUGCAGAAGGAACAGAACAGGAAAAAUCACAAGUAGGAAAGUGGCAGAAGUGGAUCAGCUCAGCAGGGAAGCCCCGGUGACAGGGACUGAGGACCUGACCUAUGCCAACCUGCAGUUUGAAAAGGAGACAAAUCCUGCCUCCUCCAGCAUCAUUUACACGGAGAUCAAGCCAUCACAACAGAAGCAGAGUGGUGGGAAUGCCAGUGCAGCCAGUGCAGCAGUGGAUGUCUCCCCCAGCAGAGAGGGCAAAUGAGGGAGAAGGGAGGGUGAGCAGCCUGUACAUCUGUUGGGGUUGUUCUCCCCAAGUACUAGGUGUUAGCUCAUA
This is a long non-coding RNA of Neopelma chrysocephalum (saffron-crested tyrant-manakin), 435 nucleotides long. RefSeq lists it as uncharacterized. The transcript has 4 exons. The record is from RefSeq and is a predicted model, not a curated record. NCBI's taxonomy places the organism in Eukaryota, Metazoa, Chordata, Aves, Passeriformes, Pipridae.